This 714-nucleotide ribosomal RNA is filed under the name Prorocentrum leve. Its description in RNAcentral is "LSU rRNA". It matches the Rfam family "Eukaryotic large subunit ribosomal RNA", at positions 30 to 672 of the family's 3401-position model. Lineage: Eukaryota; Dinophyceae; Prorocentrales; Prorocentraceae. The record is from RNAcentral.
GAAUUUAAGCAUAUAAGUAAGCGGAGGAUAAGAAACUAAACGGGAUUUUCUCAGUAAUUGCGAAUGAAGAGGGAGUAGUUCAGUUUGGAAAUUGGGGCCCCUUGGCCUUGAAUUGUAGUUUGGAGAUGCGCCGCCAAUGGAGGCGUAGAUGUAUACCUCUUGGAAGAGAGCAUCAGUGAGGGUGAGAGUCCCGUUUGCCAUCUGCAGCCCGCUGUGCACGGGGCGGUUCCAAAGAGUCACGUUCCUCGGAACUGGAGCGCAAAGUGGGUGGUAACUUUCAUCUCAAGCUGAAUACGGUUUCGAGACCGAUAGUGAACAAGUACCAUGAGGGAAAGGUGAAAAGGACUUUGAGAAGAGAGUUACAAGUGCCUGAAAUCGCUGGAAGCAAAGCGAAGGGAACUAUGGCUGCUUGGUAAAAUCUUCUGCGCGCUCACAGGAUGGCUUGCUGUUUCAACGCAAGUGCGGCAGCUAGUCCCCAUCGAAGCGUGCGCUGUGUUUUUUGCCGCGCAUGUCAACGCCAACUUGCAAAUGAGGAAUGCUUCAGGGACACGACAACCUGCCUCCGGGCAGAUGAACGUGCCUGGCAGGAUUCGUUUGCCCAUUGAUUUGAGGCUGUCUGGUUGUAGUGACCCCGCAAAGGAGGUUGCGCCCCGGACGCAAAUGAAGAAGACAGAGUGGUUCCAUUCUACCCGUCUUGAAACACGGGACCAAGGA